Tachyglossus aculeatus (Australian echidna) is the source of this 138-nucleotide small nucleolar RNA. NCBI's taxonomy places the organism in Eukaryota, Metazoa, Chordata, Mammalia, Monotremata, Tachyglossidae. The record is from RefSeq and is a predicted model, not a curated record.
ACCCUCUCAGGGUUGCCCCGGGAGAGUUUCCAGUACUCUGCCAGUCUCGGCUACGGGAGGAAGAGUCAAGCAGGGGUAUACCCGUUCCAUUCCUAGCUUGGCCAGUGGCUAGCGAGUGGAAGGCAAUAUGCUACAAGU